AAUUUAUCUGUGCAAUUCAGUAUAAUUUGAUAAUAAUUUUCUUACUAUAUUUUCUUUUAAAAUUUAUGAGAAAUAU
Molecule: transfer RNA, 76 nt
Filed under: Onychothemis testacea
Lineage: Eukaryota; Metazoa; Arthropoda; Insecta; Odonata; Libellulidae
Description: tRNA-Val
Source: RNAcentral